Molecule: long non-coding RNA, 247 nt
Filed under: Brassica napus (rape)
Lineage: Eukaryota; Viridiplantae; Streptophyta; Magnoliopsida; Brassicales; Brassicaceae
Description: long non-coding RNA (BNAP_LNC010604)
Source: RNAcentral
UGACUGACUAACCGAUCAGGAAGUGAGUAUUAAGAGUUCCAUUUCCAAUCUUGUCAAAAGAAGGAAAAUUCAGGAACUCAUCAUCACGCUCAAAAGUACUUUGGUCUAUAGAGGUGUCUUCGAUGAUAGAAAUUUUGUAAGUAUGGUCUGUGGGACGGUACUGUCCUCUUGCGUGAGACACUGUAAAUGUGUCUAUGAGUCGCCAUUCACCAAGCCGUAUUUUACUCUCUGUUUUUUUUAUGAGAGU